GAUGAACGCUAGCUACAGGCUUAACACAUGCAAGUCGUGGGGCAUCAUGAUGUAGUAAUACAUUGAUGGCGACCGGCGCACGGGUGAGUAACGCGUAUCCAACCUACCCUCCACUCAAGUAUAGGCUUCCGAAAGGGAGAUUAAUCCUUGAUAUCGUCAUUCUCUCUCCUGUUAGAAUGAUAAAAGGACAUCGUUUCGGUAGAGGAUGGGGAUGCGUUCCAUUAGGUAGUAGGUGGUUUAACAGGCCACCUAGCCGAUGAUGGAUAGGGGUUCUGAGAGGAAUAUCCCCCACACUGGUACUGAGAUACGGACCAGACUCCUACGGGAGGCAGCAGUGAGGAAUAUUGGUCAAUGGGCGCAAGCCUGAACCAGCCAUGUAGCGUGAAGGAUGACAGUUUUUUUGAUUGUAAACUUCUUUUCUGUGCGAUUAAAGUGUGGCAUUUAUGCCAUA
Molecule: ribosomal RNA, 451 nt
Filed under: Bacteroidetes bacterium oral taxon 272
Lineage: Bacteria; Pseudomonadati; Bacteroidota
Description: bacterial SSU rRNA
Rfam family: Bacterial small subunit ribosomal RNA
Source: RNAcentral